Molecule: long non-coding RNA, 460 nt
Organism: Nomascus leucogenys (northern white-cheeked gibbon)
Lineage: Eukaryota; Metazoa; Chordata; Mammalia; Primates; Hylobatidae
Exons: 4
Source: RefSeq, a predicted model, not a curated record
GUUAUUAUUACCUGAGACCCUGAAAGGUAGCACUAAAAAAAUGAAGACACAGGAAUACCAGGAGAGAAAGGAGGUCCAGUUAGACCUAAAGGUGGGCAAGAAGAAGAAGAAGAGGAGUUUGGAUGCUUCAUCUCUGCUGAGACCCAGUGCCUUGCACUGACGGUGCUCAGGAAUACCUUCUGAAUGAUCAGAAGCCCCUGCCAUCUGCUAAAUUGGAUCUAUGAUGACAGAAGCCGAGGAAUGUGAGGUUCAUCUAGAGAGUUCUUGUGAAUUUUCCAAGGGAGGCACCUGUUGAACUCAGGCAUGGGCAUGUGACUUGAUUUGGUCAAUGAAAUGUGAGAGAAGUGACAUCCACUUUGAGGCAGGCACUUUCCAAGUUGCCCUGACAGCCACUCUCCAUACUGCUGCCAGAAGGACCUUGAAAUAUCACUCUUUUUAAUUAAAAAGCAAAACUCUUCAA